Salmo trutta (river trout) is the source of this 1994-nucleotide long non-coding RNA. The record is from Ensembl. NCBI's taxonomy places the organism in Eukaryota, Metazoa, Chordata, Actinopteri, Salmoniformes, Salmonidae.
CUCGGGUGCUGUGCCUUUAAACAGCAAAGUGUUGCUAUAAACCUGCCACCUUAACCCUCAGUUCAAUAGCACGCCCGUUGCCAGAUAAGACACACAUUCACACAGACAUUACAGUACACAUACAGUCAGGUCUUCUAUAUUCACACACACACACACACACACAGUACACAUAGGUUCAGGUCCUUAUUGAUUUCCGUUGAAGUCCCAGGUUCACUGAAGCGGCUGCUGGCUUUAAGGUUUCUACUGAGGUGCAGGGGUUAACUUCACAAGAUGCCGAUACGCGAGGCUUUUUACUUUUUAGAAGUCUUCAUGCCGUUGAUCACAUUUGGCAUCACCAUCAUCUGCUGCACAGCCUUUUGUAAGGCCUUCCACCGGGCCCGCGAGGAGCAACUGGACCGGGAGGAGAGACGAGACAGGCCCUCCAUCUAUGUCAUUCCCUUCCCCACAGUAUCUCAUGACAACGAAGACAUCCACAGGCCUCCUCGCUACAGCACCUCAGAGUUCUACAGCCCACCUCCUGCCUACAAUGAGGUGGAGAUGAAGCCAGACUUUAUCCACCCAGAGCUUCCUCCAGCCUACUCUGAGGUCUCCAACACACCUGUUUUCCCCCUGCAACCUGUCUCGGCAUCUCCUGAACCCCACUCCCAACCAUAGGACCGUACCUCCUUAGGAAGCCUGCGAGGGGGAGGCCUGAGGCCACAGACUAAGGGAUAAAUUACACAGAAUAUGGGACAUACUGUAUGUGGAGUGGGGAUUUUGAAGCUGGAUAUGUAUACCACAGAGACUUGGUCCUUGGGAUUGUUGAAUGGGGACGAGAGGUGGAAAGUUUGGGGACCAUAAGGACAAGCAAGUGUUUGGGCAUCUAUGAAAGUGUGUACUGUAAAGCAGAAGUUGGGGACAAGAGAUUGAAUGGGGUUGCGUAGUAGCUAUAGCUACCGAUCUGUACAUACCAGUGUGUAAAUAUUAUUAAAAUCUUUCAAAUUUUAUUUUUCAAGGUGUUACUCAGAAUAGUUUAUUAAUAUUAUUAUGUAUCAGUGUCAUGGAACUUGUUGUGUAAUAAUGGUAAAUAGUGUCUGUUUUCGUUAUCAAAGAUUCAAUCUGUCCUAUAUUGGUCAUGUCUGAUUCUGUAACACAUCGUCCGUGCUCUUUGGCCAGAUAGGUUACAUAACAGCCCUACCCAGGAAGCUGUUCUGUAAAACACUGGUAAGAUAUUGAACAGACAAACUGAUAAAAAUGUACUAUGUCAUGGACAUGACCGUUUUUGGCAUUCCUCUCGGUUAUAAAUAUGUUAUUUCCUCUUACUCCAGUUGCCCAAUCAUAUAUCCUUACAUGAAUAGGAACAAGUCUUUGGCUGAUGAUGUGUAGUGUAUUAAGUGAUAGUAAAAUAGUAACCGCUUCACUUAAUGCCCCCUUGCCUAUGACUGUAAACUAUGAUCAAAACAUAUAUGGCCCAUCUCUGUCAUUCAUUUUCUAAGAUUAGACCAGAGGUUGAGCAGUUGUUACUGAGAUGCCUCAAUGCUACUAACCCAACACUGUUUUGCUUUAUGAACAUCAUGAAUAAUACUAGCAUUUUGCAAAUACAGACAGGGAUUGAAACCUGGGUCUCUAGUGUGCUUGUGGACUGUGUUAGCCCGAUGAGCUAAAGCCUAGGCAUUAACUUGGGGAACUAAUAUUUGUCUUCAGGACAGGUGUCAGUGCAAAGUUACUCACUCAUCACGUGAGUGUGAUUCAUCAACUUUUAUAUAGUAUACAGUGCAUUCGGAAAGAAUUCAGACCCCUUGACUUUUUCCACAUUUUGUUACGUUACAGCCUUAUUCUAACAUGGAUUAAAUAAAACAAUGUCCCCAUCAAUCUACACACAAUACUCCAUAAUGACAAAGUGAAAACAGGUUUUUAGAAAUGUUUGCAAAUGUAUUAAAAAUAAAAAAAACAGAAAUACCUUAUUUACAUAAGUAUUCAGACCUUUUGCUAUGAGACUCUAAAUUGAGCACAGC